RNAcentral lists this non-coding RNA (104 nucleotides) under Minutocellus polymorphus. The record is from RNAcentral. Lineage: Eukaryota; Bacillariophyta; Thalassiosirophyceae; Cymatosirales; Cymatosiraceae.
GUCGGCGUCGGAGCCGGCGUCGGCGCUGGGACCGUCCUUCACCCCGAACCGCGAGCAUCGUGCCCUCGGCUAUGGAUACGGAUACGGAUGCGAACACGGGUAUU